This 253-nucleotide ribosomal RNA is filed under the name uncultured bacterium. Its description in RNAcentral is "partial 16S ribosomal RNA". It matches the Rfam family "Bacterial small subunit ribosomal RNA", at positions 524 to 776 of the family's 1533-position model. The record is from RNAcentral.
UACGUAGGGGGCAAGCGUUGUCCGGAUUUAUUGGGCGUAAAGCGCUCGCAGGCGGCCCGAUGCGUCGUGCGUGAAACACCCCGGCUCAACUGGGGAGGGUCAUUCGAUACUGGCGGGCUCGAGGCCGGUAGGGGGAAGCGGAAUUCCCGGUGUAGUGGUGGAAUGCGUAGAUAUCGGGAGGAACACCAGUGGCGAAGGCGGCUUCCUGGACCGGUUCUGACACUGAGGAGCGAAAGCGUGGGGAGCGAUCCGG